GACAGAGGGUGCAAGCGUUGUUCGGAAUUACUGGGCGUAAGGCGCGCGCAGGCGGGUCCUGUAAGUCGGAAGGGAAAUCUCACUGCUCAACGGUGGGGCUGCUUUUGAUACUGCGGAUCUGGAGACCGGUAGAGGCUGGUAGAAUUGCAGGUGUAGCGGUGGAAUGCGUAGAGAUCUGCAAGAAUACCCGUGGCGAAGGCGGCCAGCUGGGCCGGUUCUGACGCUGAGGCGCGAAAGCUAGGGGAGCGAACAGG
This 254-nucleotide ribosomal RNA is filed under the name uncultured bacterium. RNAcentral describes it as "partial 16S ribosomal RNA". It matches the Rfam family "Bacterial small subunit ribosomal RNA", at positions 524 to 776 of the family's 1533-position model. The record is from RNAcentral.